GGAGGGUGCAAGCGUUAUCCGGAUUCACUGGGUUUAAAGGGUGCGUAGGUGGGCUAGUAAGUCAGUGGUGAAAUCUCCGGGCUUAACCCGGAAACUGCCAUUGAUACUAUUAGUCUUGAAUGUUGUGGAGGUAAGCGGAAUAUGUCAUGUAGCGGUGAAAUGCUUAGAUAUGACAUAGAACACCGAUAGCGUAGGCAGCUUACUACACAAAUAUUGACACUGAGGCACGAAAGCGUGGGGAUCAAACAGGAUUAGAUACCCUGGUAGUCCACGCCCUAAACGAUGGAUACUCGACAUCAGCGAUACACUGUUGGUGUCUGAGCGAAAGCAUUAAGUAUCUCACCUGGGAAGUACGACCGCAAGGUUG
Molecule: ribosomal RNA, 367 nt
Filed under: uncultured bacterium
Lineage: Bacteria
Description: bacterial SSU rRNA
Rfam family: Bacterial small subunit ribosomal RNA
Source: RNAcentral